CCCAGACGACGCCGUUGUAAACCUCAGACCUCACAAGCUUGCCAGCAAAAUACCUGAUCGUCGACGGCAAGUAAUUCGAGCCUAACCCGAAACAUCUGGUUCUCCACAAGCGUGUUAACCUUCGGAUCUUGGAUCGUGGUGCAGUGAAUUGAGAUCGGGAGAUCCGUUGUUUAGACUAACGGCGAGAACGAGGUCUGUUGUACUCGUGGUCGAACGCCAGCGAGUCCAAAGCAUAGCGGAGCCGCAGUCGAGAAGCUUCAGCGAGUUGAGGUCGUGGAUUUGGACGAUGACCUUCGACGACCAAAAGCCUGGAACCUCCGGUCUCCACUCUGUAACUUGAUUCGG
RNAcentral lists this long non-coding RNA (345 nucleotides) under Rosa chinensis. RNAcentral's name for it is "sRNA RchiOBHm_Chr1g0350651". The record is from RNAcentral. Lineage: Eukaryota; Viridiplantae; Streptophyta; Magnoliopsida; Rosales; Rosaceae.